This 985-nucleotide ribosomal RNA is filed under the name uncultured bacterium. RNAcentral's name for it is "bacterial SSU rRNA". It matches the Rfam family "Bacterial small subunit ribosomal RNA", at positions 75 to 1058 of the family's 1533-position model. The record is from RNAcentral.
GGUAAGGCUACUUUGUGAUUGCGGCGACGGGUGAUGCUCGUGGGAUCUACCUACCAGUGGGGGAAGCAGGCGGAAACGACUGCUAUUACCGCAUACGUCCUAUGGGAUAAAGCAGGGGAUCUUCAGACCUCGCGCUAUUAUAUGAGCCCGCGUAAGAUUACCUUGUUGGUGGGGUAAUGGCCUACCAAGGCGACGAUCUUUAACUGGUCUGAGAGGAUGAUCAGCCGCACUGCGACUGAGACACGGCCCAAACUCCUACAGGAGGCAGCAGUGGGGAAUAUUGGACAAUGGGGGCAACCCUGAUCCAGCCUUGCCGCGUGUGUGAAGAAGGCCUUCGGGUUGUAAAGCACUUUAAACAUGGAUGAAGGCUAGUAAAUUAAUACCUUGCUAGACUGACUUUAACUGCAGAAUAAACACCGGCUAACUCCGUGCCAGCAGCCGCGGUAAUACGGAGGGUGCGAGCGUUAAUCGGAAUUACUGGGCGUAAAGCGCGCGUAGGUGGUAAUUUAAUCGAGAUGUGAAAUCCCCGGGCUUAACCUGGGACCUGCAUUUCGAACUGGGUUACUAGAGUACAGUAUAGGGGAGUGGAAUUUCAUGUGUAUCGGUGAAAUGCGUAGAGAUCUGAAUGAACAUCAGUGGCGAAGGCGACUCUCUGGACUGAUACUGACGCUGAGGUGCGAAAGCGUGGAGAGCAAACAAGAUUAUUACCCUGGUAGUCCACGCCGUAAACGAUGUCGACUACCCGUUGGCCUCCUUGAGGGGUGUAUUGGCGCAGCUAACACAUUAAGUCGACCGCCUGGGGAGUACGGCCGCAACGUUAGAACUCUCAUGAAAUGACGGGGGGCCCGCACAAACGGUGGAGCAUGUGUGUUUAAUUUCGAAUCACGCGAAGAAACUCUACCUACUCUUGACAUCCUAGAUACUUUAUAUAGAUGCGUUGGUGUCUUCGGGAAUCUAGUGACAGGUGCUGCAUGGCUGUCAUCGC